UGCAGUCGAGCGGAACGAAGAGGUGCUUGCACCUCUGGCGUCGAGCGGCGGACGGGUGAGUAAUGCUUGGGAAUAUGCCUUAUGGUGGGGGACAACAGUUGGAAACGACUGCUAAUACCGCAUGAUGUCUACGGACCAAAGUGGGGGACCUUCGGGCCUCACGCCAUAAGAUUAGCCCAAGUGGGAUUAGCUAGUUGGUGAGGUAAUGGCUCACCAAGGCGACGAUCCCUAGCUGGUUUGAGAGGAUGAUCAGCCACACUGGGACUGAGACACGACCCAGACUCCUACGGGAGGCAGCAGUGGGGAAUAUUGCACAAUGGGCGCAAGCCUGAUGCAGCCAUGCCGCGUGUGUGAAGAAGGCCUUCGGGUUGUAAAGCACUUUCAGUAAGGAGGAAAGGUUAAGUGUUAAUAGCACUUAGCUGUGACGUUACUUACAGAAGAAGCACCGGCUAACUCCGUGCCAGCAGCCGCGGUAAUACGGAGGGUGCGAGCGUUAAUCGGAAUUACUGGGCGUAAAGCGUACGCAGGCGGUUUGUUAAGCGAGAUGUGAAAGCCCCGGGCUC
RNAcentral lists this ribosomal RNA (563 nucleotides) under uncultured Pseudoalteromonas sp. RNAcentral's name for it is "bacterial SSU rRNA". It matches the Rfam family "Bacterial small subunit ribosomal RNA", at positions 56 to 610 of the family's 1533-position model. Lineage: Bacteria; Pseudomonadati; Pseudomonadota; Gammaproteobacteria; Alteromonadales; Pseudoalteromonadaceae. The record is from RNAcentral.